GGCUGCGCGCAGCUGAUGCAGCCAUGCCGCGUGUAUGAAGAAGGCCUUCGGGUUGUAAAGUACUUUCAGCGGGGAGGAAGGGAGUAAAGUUAAUACCUUUGCUCAUUGACGUUACCCGCAGAAGAAGCACCGGCUAACUCCGUG
RNAcentral lists this ribosomal RNA (144 nucleotides) under uncultured bacterium. RNAcentral's name for it is "partial 16S ribosomal RNA". It matches the Rfam family "Bacterial small subunit ribosomal RNA", at positions 373 to 507 of the family's 1533-position model. The record is from RNAcentral.